AAGUCGUAACAAGGUCUCCGUAGGUGAACCUGCGGAGGGAUCAUUAACACGUUUUAAAACACGUUUUAACACAACCAACCAACCACGUGAACUAUUUAACACUCCUGGAAGAGAGAGAAUUCUGUCUCCUCACACUAAUGAUGAGCUCUCGCAAGGGAGCGGUGUGUUUAGACUGGCACAUGCAGUUUCCUUCACGGGAUUCGGCAAUUGUGUAAAGACCUUUCUUUUCUGGGCUAAAUGCCUCUCUCAUCACUGGGGCGAAAACACCACUUUCACUACUUCUAUAACCAUUGACUGUUCGUUUCGAUUCUGAAAAGAAUUGUAAACAUUAAUCAAAUAUCUAAGCACAACUCUUAGCAACGGAUAUCUUGGUUCUC
Molecule: unclassified non-coding RNA, 377 nt
Filed under: fungal sp.
Lineage: Eukaryota; Fungi
Also listed under: 1 other name
Description: partial internal transcribed spacer region
Rfam family: Eukaryotic small subunit ribosomal RNA (bases 1-46)
Source: RNAcentral